AAAGCGCGGCUGGAGAGUGUCUGUGUUUACACCGCUGUCACGGCAGCCCUGGACUGCCAGCAGGAGAGGGUUUCUCAGGAGCUGGCAACAAAACUUGGCUCAGCAGCCUCUGAGGACAUCGUGGCAGCGGUGAAGAGACCGAAGAGGACGUUAAUGGAGGAAGCUAUUAAGAGAAAAAGAGACCUCGACUGGGCAAGAGACAAGAGUCUGGACUUGUUAACAGUACCUACUGGUGAAUAGUUUUUCUCUGCUCCGGUAAUUAACAUUGCUUCCACGGAUGAAAGCUCUGUGACAGCAACAUCUAUGAACCUGAUCCACAUAAUUGAUAACAUCUUAAUGCACGACCUUUUGCAUUUCAAAGGUCACAGCUAAUUGCCACACAUAAGCUGUUCACGCCAUCCCCCCCCGAAAAACAAAAGGCAAGAAGGAGAGAAGAUGAGAUUCAGCUUCGUCCUGCGUCCAUAUUCACAUGUAUAAGGCAGAGCUUCAAAAAGCAAACCAGCAGCCUCACAAAAGAGAGCAACAUGUCUGCAACAUCCCGCACAACUGGAGAGUUAGCGUUAGCUGCAACAGCCACCGCGAUGAAACAGGUGAAGACAGCAUGGUGCCACCUUCAAAAAUGUGGCAGCAUAACUUCAGAGAAAAAGGUUCUUUCUAUUCAUUUUAGUGCUAUAACGUGAUAGUGACAGAAAUAAACUUGCAGAUUACCCUGUACUAAGAGUCAUGCUUAACUGAUUUUUUGAUCAAUUCAUACACUUUUGAAUGACAGUGAUUUCCUCAUACAACCAAAGACCAUCUUUUUGAUACUGAUACAAAAAAAAAAUGUAUCCCAUGUAUCUCCCAUGUAUCUCCCAUGUUACUGA
This is a long non-coding RNA of Acanthopagrus latus (yellowfin seabream), 863 nucleotides long. RefSeq lists it as uncharacterized. The record is from RefSeq and is a predicted model, not a curated record. The transcript is spliced from 4 exons. NCBI's taxonomy places the organism in Eukaryota, Metazoa, Chordata, Actinopteri, Spariformes, Sparidae.